CAUCAGGUGAAGAUGUGCGUGAUUUCACCAAGGUGCUGAAAAAUAAGUUCAGAUCAAAGAAAUACUUUGCCAAACAUCCUCGCUUGGGUUAUUUACCAGUACAAACAGUUCCAGAAGGCGAGAACCUUGAGACGACACAAUCAUUGCCUUGGAAGCUUCAUCACCAUACUACAUUGCAUUUCUGCAGAGGGAAGAAGAAAUCAAUAUGCAAAUUCAAUUCCAUGUUUUUGGAAGUCCCAUUGAGAACACGAUUCAUUUGCGCAGGCAUAAUACUCUGACUGAGCAAGAAUUGAAGUUUCCACUUGGACAAAAGAUUCACAUCAAAUUGACUGGUCAAGGAAAUGGGACACUGACUGUGAGAAUGAGUUAUCCAGAUAGUAAGAACUGCCAAUGUUGGUGUCUGAAGUAACGCAUUGUGGAGCUGGAGGAACACAGCAGGGCAGGCAGCAUCAGAGGCUCAAGAAAGAACCAUACGAUUACACUAAUUUUGAUGAGGAAUUUAAAGAUGACGAGUCCCGUCCGUUUGACUCACAAUUUGGUAACAUAGGUUGGUACGAUCUUCGUUCGAGAAGGAAAAGGGAUGUUCCAGAUACAGACAAUCAUCAAACCAUUUACUACAAAGUCUA
Stegostoma tigrinum is the source of this 626-nucleotide long non-coding RNA. RefSeq lists it as uncharacterized. NCBI's taxonomy places the organism in Eukaryota, Metazoa, Chordata, Chondrichthyes, Orectolobiformes, Stegostomatidae. The transcript is spliced from 5 exons. The record is from RefSeq and is a predicted model, not a curated record.